Molecule: small nucleolar RNA, 122 nt
Organism: Lepus europaeus (European hare)
Lineage: Eukaryota; Metazoa; Chordata; Mammalia; Lagomorpha; Leporidae
Source: RefSeq, a predicted model, not a curated record
CUGCACAUUUCAUUGUCCUUUCUUUGUAUGUGUGAACAGUAUUAUUUCUUAUGUGCUAUACAAAGAGUUGAAGGUUAAUUAGCAGUAUAAGUAGUAAUGCUGCCAGUCUCUUUAAGACAGAC